Molecule: ribosomal RNA, 376 nt
Filed under: uncultured bacterium
Lineage: Bacteria
Description: bacterial SSU rRNA
Rfam family: Bacterial small subunit ribosomal RNA
Source: RNAcentral
GACAGAGGUGCCAAGCGUUAGGCGGAAUCACUGGGCUUAAAGCGUGUGUAGGCGGAUGCCUAAGUACCUUGUGAAAUCCCACGGCUCAACCGUGGAACUGCUGGGUAUACUGGGUGUCUUGGGUCAGCUAGGGGUUGCCGGAACAAAUGGUGGAGCGGUGAAAUGCGUAGAUAUCAUUUGGAACGCCAAUGGCGAAAGCAGGCAACUGGGGCUGCACCGACGCUGAGACACGAAAGCCAGGGGAGCAAACGGGAUUAGAUACCCCGGUAGUCCUGGCCCUAAACGAUGUCCACUAGAUCGUAGUCGCUCUGACGUGAUUAUGGUCGAAGCAAAAGUGCUAAGUGGACCGCCUGGGAAGUACGGUCGCAAGGCUAAA